RNAcentral lists this long non-coding RNA (947 nucleotides) under Mytilus galloprovincialis (Mediterranean mussel). Lineage: Eukaryota; Metazoa; Mollusca; Bivalvia; Mytilida; Mytilidae. The record is from RNAcentral.
UGCGUUUUAAGAAUGUUAAUCGAUUUCCUUCCAUUAAAAAGUCACAUUUUCUAUACAAAAUAUAUGUAUGUUUAAUUUUAUCUAUAUUCUCACAGUGUAAGGAUAUUUUGUUCAUAUUUCUAACAGGUAAUAUUUCAAAACAAGUAUUACAAAAAAACUGGCUCAAAAAGGGGAAGUCUAAACAAACUGACAAAACCAAAGCGAUAUUAAUCAAUGGGAACAGUAAAAGGUAAAUAAACAAAACUACCAAACUCCUAGGAAUAUUCAAAACGGAAAGUCUCUUAUCAAAUGGCAAAGUCCGUUCGUAAAUACAUGUACUACCUUUUUCAGAUAUGAAUAAAUUAGUAUACUUAUGUCCGCGAAAAUUUAAUUGUUAGUUUAAGUUUGACGCAUUUUUCUAAUUGCGGAUUUUGGCAAAUCCAAUAAAUGUGUAAAUAAGGCAACAGUAAUAAAGCGCUGUUCGAACGUCAUAAGUCGAUUGAGAUUAACAAUGCAUGAUGAACGACUACGUCUUAACGAACAAUCGAGAACACGUGUAUUUCCUGGAAUACAACACAUUUUGUCAUGCAUUGUGGGAUAAAUAAUUUCGCUUAGUUUCCAAUUUUUGUAUUGCAGUAAUGAUAUUGUACCAACAACUUUUAUUAUAAGAAAAUUCAUUAAAAUCGAGAAGAGUAUGCAUUUGUUACGUUGUCUAAAGAUAAACACAAAUAACUUUCAGAGAAGAUUGGUUUUCCAUUAUCUUUAAAAGAGAUAUUUACCUUAGAUUCCAUAAAGUAUUUUAACGCAAAACCAAAUAUGAGAUACACAUAGAAAGAUUUUUAAAUCAUGAUAAAUGGUUCAGAAGGAGGUUCGGACACAAUACCAUAAACCCAUUGAAGCAAUGGCAAAGUUAAUGUAUUAUAAAAAAAAACCAAGUAUUAUGAAAUAAAGAGUUCAAAAGAACAAAU